This 195-nucleotide ribosomal RNA is filed under the name Triticum aestivum (bread wheat). RNAcentral describes it as "partial small subunit ribosomal RNA". Lineage: Eukaryota; Viridiplantae; Streptophyta; Magnoliopsida; Poales; Poaceae. The record is from RNAcentral.
AUGGAGUGCAACAAGUAUUCCGAAGGCAACAUUUAUAUGCAGCAUAGCCUGGAUGUCUGGGGUAGCAUUGGAAACAACCACAUAAAGGGCCUAAAUAAUCAAGUAGGUAUGCUUCUAAAGUGGCAGUGGACUAAAGAUGAGCAUAGGGUUGUAUACACCAUGCUUAGAAAGGAUGUCUCGGACAGUGUUGAAUGA